UCGCGCAAACACAUGGGGGUAGAAGUGCUACAGUAAUAGCGAUUGAUUAGGUAUUCCGCCAUACAGUAUGUAUCUGCUAGACUAGGGUUUUAAGUCAUAGCCCCAGUCUACGUGCAGUAAAUAGUUCAAGUAUUUUUUAGAGUGGUAUAGAACUACUAGGCCUACUCUGUAU
This is a long non-coding RNA of Alosa sapidissima (American shad), 172 nucleotides long. RefSeq lists it as uncharacterized. The record is from RefSeq and is a predicted model, not a curated record. The transcript has 3 exons. Lineage: Eukaryota; Metazoa; Chordata; Actinopteri; Clupeiformes; Clupeidae.